AGUGAACGCUGGCGGUAGGCCUAACACAUGCAAGUCGAACGGCAGCACAGUAAGAGCUUGCUCUUACGGGUGGCGAGUGGCGGACGGGUGAGGAAUACAUCGGAAUCUACUUUUUCGUGGGGGAUAACGUAGGGAAACUUACGCUAAUACCGCAUACGACCUACGGGUGAAAGCAGGGGAUCUUCGGACCUUGCGCGAUUGAAUGAGCCGAUGUCGGAUUAGCUAGUUGGCGGGGUAAAGGCCCACCAAGGCGACGAUCCGUAGCUGGUCUGAGAGGAUGCCAGACCACAUGGGAACUGAGACAGGGCCGGGCCUCAGGCGGGUGGAGAGGGGGGGGAUGGUGGGAGAAUGGCGGCAGGUUGACCCCACCAUUAGCGGGUGGGUAAAAACGCCCUCGGGUUUUAAAGCCCUUUUGUUGGGAAAAAAAAAGAGGCAGGUUAAUCCCCCGGUUUUCGAGGGGACCCAAAAAGAAAGCCACGGUCAAGCUUGGGC
Molecule: ribosomal RNA, 492 nt
Filed under: uncultured bacterium
Lineage: Bacteria
Description: partial 16S ribosomal RNA
Rfam family: Bacterial small subunit ribosomal RNA
Source: RNAcentral